ACCCGCUGAACUUAAGCAUAUCAAUAAGCGGAGGAAAAGAAACUAACAAGGAUUCCCCUAGUAACGGCGAGUGAAGUGGGAAAAGCUCAACUUUGAAAUCUGGUACUUUCAGUAUCCGAAUUGUAGUCUCAAGAAGUGUUUUCUGUGCCGGUCCAUGUAUGAGUCUGUUGGAACACAGCGUCAUAGAGGGUGACAACCCCGUUCAUGACAUGGAUCCCGGUGCUUUGUGAUACACUCUCGAAGAGUCGAGUUGUUUGGGAAUGCAGCUCAAAUUGGGUGGUAAAUUCCAUCUAAAGCUAAAUAUUGGCGAGAGACCGACAGCAAACAAGUACCGUGAGGGAAAGAUGAAAAGCACUUUGGAAAGAGAGUUAACAGUACGUGAAAUUGUUGAAAGGGAAACGAUUGAAGUCAGACGUGCGUGAUGCGGCUCAGCUCUAGUUCGCUAGAGUGUACUCCGUAUCUUUGCAGGCCAACAUCGGUUUUGUUAGUCGGAUAAAGGUUUGAGAAAUGUGGCACCUUCGGGUGUGUUAUAGUCUCAGACUGAAUACGAUUGAUGGGACCGAGGAACGCAGCGCGCCGCAAGGCAAAGGUUCCGACCUUUUCGCGCUUAGGAUGUUGGUGAAAUGGCUUUAAACGACCCGUCUUGAAACACGGACCAAGGAG
This 663-nucleotide ribosomal RNA is filed under the name uncultured fungus. RNAcentral describes it as "eukaryotic LSU rRNA". It matches the Rfam family "Eukaryotic large subunit ribosomal RNA", at positions 23 to 673 of the family's 3401-position model. Lineage: Eukaryota; Fungi. The record is from RNAcentral.